Molecule: ribosomal RNA, 504 nt
Filed under: uncultured bacterium
Lineage: Bacteria
Description: partial 16S ribosomal RNA
Rfam family: Bacterial small subunit ribosomal RNA
Source: RNAcentral
AUUGAACGCUAGCGGCAUGCUUAACACAUGCAAGUCGAACGGUAACAGGCCUAGCUUGCUAGGCGCUGACGAGUGGCGGACGGGUGAGUAACGCGUAGGAAUUUACCUUGUAGUGGGGGAUAACUUGGGGAAACUCAAGCUAAUACCGCAUGAGCCCGAAAGGGGAAAGUGUGGGACCGAAAGGCCACAUGCUAUGAGAUGAGCCUGCGUCAGAUUAGCUAGUUGGUAGGGUAAAGGCCUACCAAGGCGAAGAUCUGUAGCUGGUCUGAGAGGACGACCAGCCACACUGGGACUGAGGCACGGCCCAGACUCCUACGGGAGGCAGCAGUGGGGAAUAUUGGACAAUGGGCGCAAGCCUGAUCCAGCAAUGCCGCGUGUGUGAAGAAGGCCUGCGGGUUGUAAAGCACUUUCGGUGGGGAGGAAGGCGUCAUGGCUAAUAGUCAUGACGAUUGACGUUACCCACAGAAGAAGCACCGGCUAACUCUGUGCCAGCCGCCGCCGUAA